AGCGAACGCUGGCGGCAGGCCUAACACAUGCAAGUCGAACGAACCUUUCGGGGUUAGUGGCGGACGGGUGAGUAACACGUGGGAACGUGCCUUUAGGUUCGGAAUAACUCAGGGAAACUUGUGCUAAUACCGAAUGUGCCCUUCGGGGGAAAGAUUAAUCGCCUUUAGAGCGGCCCGCGUCUGAUUAGCUAGUUGGUUGAGGUAAUGGCUCACCAAGGCUACGAUCAGUAGCUGGUCUGAGAGGAUGAUCAGCCACAUUGGGACUGAGACACGGCCCAAACUCCUACGGGAGGCAGCAGUGGGGAAUCUUGCGCAAUGGGCGAAAGCCUGACGCAGCCAUGCCGCGUGAAUGAUGAAGGUCUUAGGAUUGUAAAAUUCUUUAACCGGGGACGAUAAUGACGGUACCCGGAGAAGAAGCCCCGGCUAACUUCGUG
RNAcentral lists this ribosomal RNA (434 nucleotides) under uncultured bacterium. RNAcentral describes it as "partial 16S ribosomal RNA". It matches the Rfam family "Bacterial small subunit ribosomal RNA", at positions 29 to 507 of the family's 1533-position model. The record is from RNAcentral.